This is a long non-coding RNA of Triticum aestivum (bread wheat), 3791 nucleotides long. RefSeq lists it as uncharacterized. The record is from RefSeq and is a predicted model, not a curated record. The transcript is spliced from 6 exons. NCBI's taxonomy places the organism in Eukaryota, Viridiplantae, Streptophyta, Magnoliopsida, Poales, Poaceae.
CCCUCCCUAUCUGCUCGCUCCAGAAAAGAGAGAGAGAGAGAGAGAGAGAGAGAGAGAGAGAGAGAGAGAGAUGCCCCAGAUCCAAUCGGACUCCUCCUCGCCACUGCCUCCGGCCAGCUACUGGUGGCUUUGCCCGGAGAGAGCCCUUCCCAUUCCCAUCGCGAGCUCCAUAGCAGCAAACCACCGACCAGGAAGAAGGCUGUUCGGUGCAUCAUAUCAUCUUCCUCCCUGUCUACCGAGGCAGAGGCGGCCAAGCCGGAUUGAUUCAGCUACAGCGAAGAAGAAGAAUUCCUGGGUGGAUUCUGGGUGGCGGUAGAGAAGGGGUCAUGGAGCAGCCUAUAGGCAAUCCGAGUGAGCUGUGGAAGAGCCCCAGGGGAACAGUGAUUCGUAUUGAGGUGCUUGCAUUGGUGGCCAUUGCCCUCUCCUUCUUCUUUGUGGCUUUUGGGUCCAGCUGCCGCUGGUCCAACCGUUGGAUCAUUCAAAAAGGUGUCUUGGCUGCAAAUGCAUUAUCUUUGUCCCUUAGGACAUAUAGCAUUGGCCUGAUGCAGUCCUCACCGGUGAAGAGUGAGAUGUACCCCAUCUGGGCCGUAUCCUUGCUCACCCUCUUCGGCAGCAUUAACUCAGUCAAUGGGUACAAUCUUGACCACAACAACCAGUUGUUGAAGCUGCUAUACCAGCUCUGCCUCUAUUGUGGAUAUGUCCUGCUAAUUGGUAUCUCCACCAUCUCCAGUGAUGUAGGUAACAUUGCAAUCGGUGUUUUGUGUGCCAUCACUUUCAUUAAGGGUUUUCAUAGAUCACUGCUAGCAAGUGUGUUGCCGAGCCGAUUGCGGAGUGUGAAUAAAUUGAUUGCUGAUUGCAUGGAGUCAGAAAAGAUUAAGGCUACAGACAGACUUUGCGGAUGGUCACUUGGCACUGGCAAUUUAACCGCCACGAUAGAUUGCCCUAUUUACGUGGUCGACUGGCAUUGAACAUGUCUAAUGGAGUCAUCACCACCGAUGAUAUAUGGCAUUGCGCCAGUUCACCGGGAUCGAUUGCAAAUUCUUAUAAGGAUGUUUGCAUCUCCUUCUCCCUAUGUCAUUUAUUGCAACGACGUUUCUUCGGGUACACAAGUGAUGAUGAGUUCACCAAGGGCUUGGCCAGGGAGUUUUUCAAAAAAAUUGUGCUUGCUGAAAUGGAUGAUGAUGACAGUGGGUUUGUCGAUGGUGAGAGGGCUUUUAAGGUCAUUGAGGUAGAGUUGGCGCUUUUCCCUAUGAUCUAUUCUUCACCAACAAUGCUUUCCUUCAAUAUCAUGAAUCGAAAGUGGCAACAAUUUGGACCUUUGCUUCAAUAGCCGGUAUAUUUUUUGUGGGAAUAGUGACUGUCAUACCCGGGACAUGGACAACACAUAUUUCUGGUGGUACAGUUGUUGUGACUACCACACCCUAUGACCUUGUUAUCACGCUUGUAAUACUGGCGUCUAUUGCUUUGCUCCAAGUGAUGCAGUUGGUACGGUGCUGGACAUCCAACUGGGCUAGACUUGCCCUGGUGUUCCAGUCUAUCAGAAAUAAGGGAGAGGAGUGGGGCUGUCUAAUGAGGCUAAAAGCAUUUCAGGAUUAAUUGGUUCGACGGUUAUGCCUGGCAAGGAUUUAAUCAUGUCGUGUUGACCAAAGGUGUGAAGGAAGCCAUUAUUCUCUCUUAUGAAUACGAGCAUCAUGGGCGGAUUUAGGCCCCAGGCAGCCCAGGCCAUUGCCUGGGGCGUGGGGAAUUUCCUCAGCCUAUAUUUUAAAAAAUAUACAGUUCGGCCUGGGGCGCAGCCCAGUUCAAAGCCCAAGCAGCCCAGGCCAACUGGCCCAGCCGCCCUGGUCGGCUCCCCACUUCCCCCCGUCCGGCAGCGCCCCACGUCUCCGCCCUUCCCGCCUUCUUCGUGCGGCAGCGCCCCCGGCUCCCCCCUUCCAGCCUUCCAUCUAGGUUGCGCCGCUACCGGGCUGCUAUCCUGCCUGCUGUCCGACCAGGUGGUCCUAAAAAAUCAGCCGUGCUGCCCUGCACAAAGAUUUUACAGGAAGACAAGAUCAGCAUGAUAGUGCUUAUAAUAAAUCUAGGCAACAUUAUGAGGAUUUAAAAAAUCAAAGACAAAGUCUGUGACAUGUGUUUGAUAGGGGUUCUCAGAAGCAAGAAGACGAAUACAAAGCUGGUCUCUUGAUUAUAUUGGGUAUUUUCAGAUUGUUGGUACUACAAGCUAUUGUUUUUCAUGGUCAUGAUAAGUCUACUAGCUCAAUGAACAAGGGUAACUUUAAAGAGUUGAUGGAUUUGUUCACAAAGAAAGACCCGAAGAUGGAAAAAAUAUUUGGCGAUGCAAGAGAUAACCAUAAACUGACUUCACAUAAGAUACAAUUGGAUUUAUGCAAGGCUUGUGCACAAGAGACCAUCAAAGUCAUCGAGGAGAUUGUAAUUUGCACUACUUGUUGAUGAGUCGAGAGAUGCUUCUAUGAAGGAGAAAAUGGCUAUGUGUUUGAGUAUCUUAGCAAACGGGGGGAGGUGAUUGAGAGAUUCAUGACAGUUGAGCAUGUUCCCGACAGGAGAGCAACUUCACUGAAGGUAGCUUUGGAUGGUAUGUUUGGUAUCAAUCUUUGUAUCAUCUAUAUAUAUGGUAUAUAUAUUGUCCUUUGAUUUGUCUUGCUUUAUUAGUUGACACAUCAUGAAACAAAUGUUGUCAUUGAAUAUUAUGUUUGGUUUCUUAUUAGUUAUGCAACAUAUAUUGACUUUUGUAUGCCUUGAAACUGGAGUUUUUUGGGGUGUACUUUUUAGCCCUUGGUUUCUCGCCUGGGGCGUCAGCCAAUCCUGGGUCCGCCAUUGACAAGCAUAGUGAAGGUAAACUAGCUGAUUGGACUGUUGGUCGUACGAGCAGAGAUUUUACGGCGGAUGGAGUAACUGGACCGAGAACCAUUUUGGCUUGGCACACUGCGACUUGUUACCUGGAAAUGGGGCAAUCGAGGAAUGAAAAUUGGCUUGAUGAGCACUCUGUAGAAGAAGGGAGUGAGCACUCUGUAGAAGAAGAGAGAGAGAGAGAAACUGGCGGUAUAUUAUGAUGUUGCCACAACACUGUCCAAAUACUAUGCAUACUUGAUUGUCUCUGCGCCAGAGCUGCUUCCUCCAAAGCCCUCGGACACGAAAUAUGCUUAUAAUGCAGUUCGACGGGAUGCAAGGCGAUUGCUGCGUGGGGCCAAAGACAAAUAUGAGAAAAUGAAAAGUCUGGACGACUGGCCUGGAACUGGGGAGAAGCCUUGAACAUGAACCUGGAAUUGGGGCGUUUGGUCUCUGGAAGGGGCUGGCGGAAUUCUGGGCCAACAGGUUGAGGAUCUCGGCGCCGUCCGACAAUGUGAAGGAGCACAUUGACCGUCUCUCGCGGGGCGGCGAGUUCAUCACCCAUAUCUGGGCUAUGCUGUAUGCCACCGGCAUAGUCAAACAAACGCAGAUGGAACUCCCAGAUUACGGUCCUUUGAGACACCUAGACUUUCUGAAUUUAUGCUCACUGGGGCGUGACGAUGCCGCGCAGUCUACAAGCUGCGCACUGGACAAUAUGGGAUGCGAUUACUCCACUCCAGGUCCACCAUUCGGCAUGAGUGGUGAUCUAUAUCGAAACAAUGAACAAAAAUGAAGAUGCCGCUGCCGCUGAUCUUGGUGACGUACGUACUAUGCUAUGUGUUGUCUUGCUUCAUUGAAUUGUACUACUGGUAUUUUUUGUACUUUCCCGAGAUGAAAUGUAAUGCAAACCUGAGAGGUGGGAUUAUUAUAAUUUAUAACCGGAGUGAAUA